Ribosomal RNA from Lachnoclostridium sp. An169, 158 nucleotides. It matches the Rfam family "Bacterial large subunit ribosomal RNA", at positions 2769 to 2925 of the family's 2925-position model. The record is from Rfam. NCBI's taxonomy places the organism in Bacteria, Bacillati, Bacillota, Clostridia, Lachnospirales, Lachnospiraceae.
CGCUGAAGGCAUCUAAGCGUGAAGCCCCCCUCAAGAUGAGAUAUCCCAUGACGUCAAGUCAGUAAGACCCCUUGAAGACGACGAGGUAGAUAGGGCAGAGGUGGAAGUGUCGUAAGGCAUGGAGCUGACUGUUACUAAUAGGUCGAGGGCAUAACCAG